This 4277-nucleotide long non-coding RNA is filed under the name Manihot esculenta (cassava). Its description in RNAcentral is "long non-coding RNA (MESC_LNC012345)". Lineage: Eukaryota; Viridiplantae; Streptophyta; Magnoliopsida; Malpighiales; Euphorbiaceae. The record is from RNAcentral.
UUCAAUUCAAAUUUGAAAUGUAAGUGGGAGAGCAUUUGCCGGUGGCUAAAGUAACGUUCCAUCUGUAUUUUUUUAUUACUUAACGGUGGAUCAUACGCUACACAUUGAAUAACCAAUGUGAGAAAUUAACUGCCAGUUAAUGGUAAAAAUCCAAGUUUGGUGUUUAACUAACCUGACUUAAAGUAAAAUUUGGAAAUUGUUGCCGGAACAAUUCAACUAUGCUUUUCCUAAGCGAAGCAAUGCUAUAGUCUCCAACAUCUAGAGAGCUCAAAUCAUAGCCGUCUCACAACCUAGGAUCCUUAGUCAUCAGCACCACCGCCGGUGCAGUCUGUGCUACGUGAGUGACCUUUCGCUCCUAAAUUACUGUCAACAUUGUCUUCAUAUCAAAUUUACCUAUGGACACCACCGUCGCUCCCAUAGUUAAAGCCUCACGAAAUAACAUAAACCAUAAACAUGAAAAUAAGGCAAAAGGAAGUUGCAGCUGCCAUCCAGGUCGUGUAAACCUCAUGACUUACAGCCACUAUACAUGUGAAAUUUCUAUGAGUCAAAACCACUCCAUCAACUCGACCAGUAGUCCGUGAGGAUAGAGACAUCGCAGGGUCCAAUCGGUAAACCUUCCCUCGAGUACGAUUGUUUUGAGAUUAGGAAUUAUACGAGCAGCAUUCGACGUUAUGAACACAAUUGCAGGUAUUGACAGCUGAAUUUGGUGGAGAAUCUCAUGUUUAAAGAUAAUUGAUUCUUAAGGAGACCUAACGACACCGAGAGAGAAGAUACAGAAAUAAAGAAUCGAAAGGUGAAUAGAGUUAGGAGAAAGAACAAAGGCAAUAUCUACUUUUCUGAAGCCAAAAUGGUGGUGAAGCGAGAAGUCUAAUUUUUUGUGCGAAGGACGAAGUCGGGAAAAUAAAUUCGACAGAGAGUGACGGCAUGGAAGAGAGCGUUUUAUGUUUUUCUACACCAAUUAAGAAUUUUAACUUAACUAACCAAGGAUUAAUAUCUCACCUUGGUUAUCCAAGGUGUAGUGUAGAGUCCACCGUCAAGUAAUAAAAAAAUACAAUAUGGCCUGCUACCGAUAGAUGCUCCCCCACUUUCAAUUCAAAUUUGGAAAGAAUCGCCAAAUAUUUUUAAAUCUUAAUUCAUUGUGCCAAGAAAUAAAAUUUUGGAUUUUUUAUGCCAUUAUCCUUUUUUCUUCAAGCAACAAUUUAAUUUAGUCUGCUAGUGAAUGAGGAUUUGGGGUAGCUGCGACACUUCGUCUAUGCCUUAUAACUUCUAAUGCCAACUUACGUUUUAUAUCUAGACUGUGACACUGCCUUUCAAGUGUUGUUUUAUAUCAUAAAUUACACCUAUUGGCUUGCCAAUUGCCGUUUUUUUGACAAGCUUUCCAAGUUAUUCAUUUUAGGUACUUCAGUAUGCUCCUACUCUAUGUUAUAGUCAAGUUUUGGCAAUAUUAAGGGUCUAAUUCACUCAUGGUCUCUUUAUGAAAAUUGCUCUCCUAUAUCUUAGCUAAUUCAGUGAUUUCUUUUGUGGCUUUACUUUUAUCUAUAAUCUUAUAAAUAUUAUUAUUUGCAUGCUAAUUAUUUUAGUCAUACUAAACUUAUUAAAUUUUCAUUAAGUAAUUUAUUCGACGUGAAAAUCUAUUAAUAUGGCUUGAAUAUACAUCGCUGCUAUUUGCUAAUUAAAGUCUGAACAUUUAUUAUCUUUGGACCGCACCCGAAGGCUGCCUACAUACCUCCAAUAGAGGAUCAGGUCUACGUAGCUCUUAACAAUAGAUAAUAACAUAAAGUUUAUACUAACAUAAUUUAUUCUAGCUAAUAAUUAACCACAUUAUCACAUUAUAUCUAGAAUCAAGUAAAUAACCAAGGAAACAUAAAUAAUUAUAUUUUCAUAGCUAUAUUUUGCACAAUAUUAUUAAGAAACUAGAUAUCAAUAUUCAAAACAUGUAUAUAUAUAUAUAUAUACACACAAAUUUAUAUAUAAACAAAUAUCAAUAUAACUCAUCAAUAAUAAUUACUUGUACCGAUUAAAGCGUUUAAAAUCUAAACUUUUAAACUUUUAAUAAACAAUAACUAUCUAAACUAACCCCUUAAUCAUACCUACCAUCUUAUAACUAUCACUUAUUUUAUGUGUGUAUUCUUCUUGUAUCUUCAAUUCACUUUUACAUAAUGUUUAGCUAAUUAAUCUUUCUUUACAACCCUUCGAUUUUGUAUUAUGAUAAUUCAAAUUUAUUUCCCUAAAAGGUUAUGACUUUGUUUCGAUAUCAAACAAUCGUUACACUAAAAAGUGAACAAGAAGAUUGGUCACUGACACGUUCUAGCCUAUUUCACCCACUCAUGGCUCUCCUUUUUUUCAUUUCUCUUGUAUUAUAAUAUAUAUAAAAUGCCUCCUUUUAAUUACAAACAACACAAAAAACAAAUAUAUUUUUCGAGUACAUUGUCGCUAUCAUAGAAUUUUUCUAUACCUUAUUGCUGAUGUCUCUAGUAUUUUAUUUUAAAAGGAUAUAAACUUUUAUUAGAAGUCACUUCAUAGUAAUUAGAAACUUGUCAUGAAACAACUGCAUCAGAUAUAAGGCAUCUACCAUAUCCUAGCAGAUUCUUAAAAGUGAUGCACAAACUUUCCAAUCAAUGCUCCAAUGUACAUAAUGUAAUCUGCAGCUUACAAUACACACAUUUGCAGCAUUGAAUAGAUUAUUGCGAUCACGACUUUUAUCUUCUAAUACAUGUUGAAUGUCAAAUAACAUUCUUAGCCAACUUACAAAAACCUAUAGUAGAGUUAUAUCCUGACCUUAACUUAUAAGGUAUAUACAUUUGCUUAUACUUGUUCCUUCUCCUUAAUACCUACAACGGCCUAAACGUUAGCUCUAAUACCACUAACUGCAACACUCCUAUAAGGUUAUUUAACUAACCGAAAUGGAGAUGUCACGUUUCGUGGUGCUUAUCUUAUUUUUUCAAUUAACUAUUAUCAUGUAUUUCAUGAUAUUUUUUCCUACCGAAAAUACUCUAGAGUCUCCUUUCUAAACUGGUUCUAAUUUCAUCUAUGAAUAAUAAAAUUUCACUUCAAUGAACUCUCAACCUUUAACCCCCAAACGUCAUUCAAUCACAAACACAAUUUUCAACUCAGAUAAACUCUUCUAAUAAUUAUACCAAAAUAAAACUCUUCUCAUGCAAUAUUAAUUACAACCCACAUAUCUAUUAUGUACAUGCCAUAUUUGUACAAUUUUCUAUAUGUCAAGUCUCAAUAGUGAGAAAGGAAUCGCGAAUCAGUGUGUCUUGUUUAGUAAUAUUUUUUCGGAGCAAUGGGAUAAAUAUUCUAAAUCUUUGAGGAUUUUAAGUUUUAAUCCAAAGGUUUUUUCCUAUCGAAAAUUCGGCACCGUCUCCUCUGUAUAUUGGUCCUCAUUCCAUCUGUGAAUGAUAAAAUUUCAAUUCAGUGAACUCUCAAUCUUAACUUUCCUAAACUUCCUUCAACCACAAACACAAUUUUCAAAUCAAAUCAACACUUCAUAGAUACCAAGUGUCAACAAUGAGAAAGGAAUAAUGGAUUGAGUGACCACAUUAUUUAUUAAUAUAUUUUUGGAUAAUGGCAUAAAAAAUUUAAACCUUUAAAGAUUUUUUGCAUUUUAAUUAAAAAGAUUUUACUUGCUACAAUAGCUUAGAAUUUAAAAACAUUUAGCCAUUCAAUUCAAAUUUGAAAUGUAAGUGGGAGAGCAUUUGCCGGUGGCUAAAGUAACGUUCCAUCUGUAUUUUUUUAUUACUUAACGGUGGAUCAUACGCUACACAUUGAAUAACCAAUGUGAGAAAUUAACUGCCAGUUAAUGGUAAAAAUCCAAGUUUGGUGUUUAACUAACCUGACUUAAAGUCAAAUUUGGAAAUUGUUGCCGGAACAAUUCAACUAUGCUUUUCCUAAGCGAAGCAACGCUAUAGUCUCCAACAUCUAGAGAGCUCAAAUCAUAGCCGUCUCACAACCUAGGAUCCUUAGUCAUCAGCACCACCGCCGGUGUAGUCUGUGCUACGUGAGUGACCUUUCGCUCCUAAAUUACUGUCAACAUUGUCUUCAUAUCAAAUUUACCUAUGGACACCACCGUCACUCCCAUAGUUAAAGCCCUCACGAAAUAACAUAAACCAUAAACAUGAAAAUAAAGCAAAAGGAAGUUGCAGCUGCCAUCCAGGUCGUGUAAACCUCAUGACUUACAGCCACUAUACAUGUGAAAUUUCGAUGAGUCAAAACCACUCCAUCAACUCGACCAGUAGUCCGUGAGGAUAGAGAAUCAUCGCAAGGUCCAAUCG